CACGGCAAAAGUUUUUUUGCAUAUCCUGCACAGUUUCAGUUCUCGCAGAGUACGCAAAAAAACAAUUGAGUAUUUAC
Bombyx mori (domestic silkworm) is the source of this 77-nucleotide non-coding RNA. The record is from Rfam. Lineage: Eukaryota; Metazoa; Arthropoda; Insecta; Lepidoptera; Bombycidae.